GACCCCUUCGUCUAGCGGUCCAGGACUUCGCCCUUUCACGGCGGCAACACGGGUUCGAGUCCCGUAGGGGUCA
This 73-nucleotide transfer RNA is filed under the name Candidatus Zixiibacteriota bacterium. RNAcentral's name for it is "candidate division Zixibacteria bacterium tRNA-Glu". It matches the Rfam family "tRNA". Rfam says of the family: Transfer RNA (tRNA) molecules are approximately 80 nucleotides in length. Their secondary structure includes four short double-helical elements and three loops (D, anti-codon, and T loops). Further hydrogen bonds mediate the characteristic L-shaped molecular structure. tRNAs have two regions of fundamental functional importance: the anti-codon, which is responsible for specific mRNA codon recognition, and the 3' end, to which the tRNAs corresponding amino acid is attached (by aminoacyl-tRNA synthetases). tRNAs cope with the degeneracy of the genetic code in two manners: having more than one tRNA (with a specific anti-codon) for a particular amino acid; and 'wobble' base-pairing, i.e. permitting non-standard base-pairing at the 3rd anti-codon position. Lineage: Bacteria; Pseudomonadati; Candidatus Zixiibacteriota. The record is from RNAcentral.